This 551-nucleotide ribosomal RNA is filed under the name uncultured bacterium. RNAcentral describes it as "bacterial SSU rRNA". It matches the Rfam family "Bacterial small subunit ribosomal RNA", at positions 355 to 896 of the family's 1533-position model. The record is from RNAcentral.
UGGGGAAUCUUGCGCAAUGGGGGAAACCCUGACGCAGCAACGCCGCGUGGGUGAUGAAGGCCUUCGGGUCGUAAAGCCCUGUCAGGUGGAAAGAAACAUAUCGGUGCUAAUAUCGCCGAUGUUUGACGGUACCGCCGGAGGAAGCACCGGCUAACUCCGUGCCAGCAGCCGCGGUAAUACGGAGGGUGCAAGCGUUGUUCGGAAUUACUGGGCGUAAAGCGCGUGUAGGCGGUCGGGCAAGUCAGAUGUGAAAGCCUUCCGCUUAACGGAAGAAGUGCAUUUGAUACUACCCGGCUGGAGUACGGGAGAGGAGAGUGGAAUUCCCGGUGUAGAGGUGAAAUUCGUAGAUAUCGGGAGGAACACCAGUGGCGAAGGCGGCUCUCUGGUCCGAUACUGACGCUGAGACGCGAAAGCGUGGGGAGCAAACAGGAUUAGAUACCCUGGUAGUCCACGCCGUAAACGAUGGGCACUAGGUGUAGGAGGUAUUGACCCCUUCUGUGCCGAAGUUAACGCAUUAAGUGCCCCGCCUGGGGAGUACGGCCGCAAGGCUA